UGGGCGCAAGCCUGAUCUAGCCAUGCCGCGUGAGUGAUGAAGGUCUUAGGAUCGUAAAGCUCUUUCGCCAGGGAUGAUAAUGACAGUACCUGGUAAAGAAACCCCGGCUAACUCCGUGCGAGCAGCCGCGGUAAUACGGAGGGGGUUAGCGUUGUUCGGAAUUACUGGGCGUAAAGCGCGCGUAGGCGGAUCAGAAAGUUGGGGGUGAAAUCCCAGGGCUCAACCCUGGAACUGCCUCCAAAACUACUGGUCUAGAGUUCGAGAGAGGUGAGUGGAAUUGUGAGUGUAGAGGUGAAAUUCGAAGAUAUUCACAGGAACACCAGUGGCGAAGGCGGCUCACUGGCUCGAUACUGAC
This 355-nucleotide ribosomal RNA is filed under the name uncultured marine bacterium. RNAcentral's name for it is "bacterial SSU rRNA". It matches the Rfam family "Bacterial small subunit ribosomal RNA", at positions 372 to 744 of the family's 1533-position model. The record is from RNAcentral.